Long non-coding RNA from Esox lucius (northern pike), 1698 nucleotides. RefSeq lists it as uncharacterized. NCBI's taxonomy places the organism in Eukaryota, Metazoa, Chordata, Actinopteri, Esociformes, Esocidae. The record is from RefSeq and is a predicted model, not a curated record. The transcript is spliced from 3 exons.
CUGUUUGAACAACAAAUGUGUUGUACUUGUCCCACUUAGUUAUCUUAGGAGAAACGUUGCUGUGGAUAAAAGUGUCUGCUAAAUGUCUAACCGAGCAUCUGGCAGACUGACAGAUUUAAUAUGUGUGAUGUGAAUGUGUAUGUAAUCCCUUUCACACUCAGCAUCUAGAUUAUUAGGUACUGGUACCGGGUCUGACCCCCCUCUGUUUCCAGAACAGUCAGAAUUCUUUGGGGCAUGGAUUCUACAAGGUGUGGGAAACGUUCCACAGGGAUGUGGGUCCAUGCUGAUGUAAUGGCAUUGAGCAGGACACUCAAGUAAACUAAACUCCCGGUCCUGUUCCUGGAUUCAAUCGGAGACAAUACAUGACACGUGAAAAUCAUCCAUUCCUCUGCUGGAAGUAUCCGUGCGACAAAGGGUAGCCGCCAAGGAAUGCACCUCGUCAGCAACAAGGUUUAGAUACGUGGUGGCGUUCAUAUGUUGCUGAAAUAGUAUCGAGGGUCCUAACGUGGGCCAGGACGUGGGCCAGGUAGUGUGCCAGGACGUGUGCCAGGUCAUGGGCCAGGUAGUGUGUUGCUCUGGAUGUGUGUUAGGACGUGGGCCAGGUAGUGUGUUGCUCUGGAUGUGUGUUAGGACGUGGGCCAGGUAGUGUGUUGCUCUGGAUGUGUGUUAGGACGUGGGCCAGGUAGUGUGUUGCUCUGGAUGUGUGUUAGGACGUGGGCCAGGUAGUGUGUUGCUCUGGAUGUUUGUUAGGACGUGGGCCAGGUAGUGUGUUGCUCUGGAUGUGUGUUAGGACGUGGGCCAGGUAGUGUGUUGCUCUGGAUGUGUGUUAGGACGUGGGCCAGGUUGUGUGUUGCUCUGGAUGUGUGUUAGGACGUGGGCCAGGUAGUGUGUUGCUCUGGAUGUGUGUCAUUUUGUGGGCCAGGUAGUGUGUUGCUCUGGAUGUGUGUUAGGACGUGGGCCAGGUAGUGUGUUGCUCUGGAUGUGUGUUAGGACGUGGGCCAGGUAGUGUGUUGCUCUGGAUGUGUGUUAGGACGUGGGCCAGGUAGUGUGUUGCUCUGGAUGUGUGUUAGGACGUGGGCCAGGUAGUGUGUUGCUCUGGAUGUGUGUUAGGACGUGGGCCAGGUAGUGUGUUGCUCUGGAUGUGUGUUAGGACGUGGGCCAGGUAGUGUGUUGCUCUGGAUGUGUGUUAGGACGUGGGCCAGGUAGUGUGUUGCUCUGGAUGUGUGUCAUUUUGUGGGCCAGGUAGUGUGUUGCUCUGGAUGUGUGUUAGGACGUGGGCCAGGUAGUGUGUUGCUCUGGAUGUGUGUUAGGACGUGGGCCAGGUAGUGUGUUGCUCUGGAUGUGUGUUAGGACGUGGGCCAGGUAGUGUGUUGCUCUGGAUGUGUGUUAGGACGUGGGCCAGGUUGUGUGUUGCUCUGGAUGUGUGUUAGGACGUGGGCCAGGUAGUGUGUUGCUCUGGAUGUGUGUCAUUUUGUGGGCCAGGUAGUGUGUUGCUCUGGAUGUGUGUUAGGACGUGGGCCAGGUAGUGUGUUGCUCUGGAUGUGUGUUAGGACGUGGGCCAGGUAGUGUGUUGCUCUGGAUGUGUGUUAGGACGUGGGCCAGGUAGUGUGUUGCUCUGGAUGUGUGUUAGGACGUGGGCCAGGUAGUGUGUUGCUCUGGAUGUGUGUUAGGACGUGGGCCAGGUAGUGUGUUGCUCUG